This 5719-nucleotide long non-coding RNA is filed under the name Brassica napus (rape). Its description in RNAcentral is "long non-coding RNA (BNAP_LNC002809)". The record is from RNAcentral. Lineage: Eukaryota; Viridiplantae; Streptophyta; Magnoliopsida; Brassicales; Brassicaceae.
UGCAAUGCGGUAUGUCAAAGACGGUAUAAGAGCUGCGUGGCUUGUGAUGAAGCACUCUCAACACACGUUGUUAGCUGGAGAAGGAGCAUCAGCUUUUGCUAUCUCCAUGGGUCUUCCUGGACCUAUGAACCUGAGCUCCCCUGAAUCUUUAAAGAAGUGGUUGGACUGGAAAGAGAAUCGGUGUCAGCCCAAUUUUAGAAAGAACGUUGUCCCUGCGAACGGCUGUGGACCUUACAAGCCGAAACAUGGUGGUAUGGAUGUUUCUACUGAGUCUUGUGAGAUGGGAACAAUAGAGUAUAGACUUCCUCCUCUUGUUGGUCCUCACAACCAUGAUACCAUAUCGAUGGCUGUUAUUGACAAGGUAAGGAUGAGUUUCAGUCUCUUAUACAUCUUUUUUUUUUUGACAUGAAGAGAUAAACUGAGUGUAGUCCUUUUAAAUAGAUGGGGCAUAUAGCUGUUGGGACAUCCACCAACGGUGCAACAUUCAAGAUUCCCGGAAGGUAAUGCCCUGACUCUCUUAUUUCAUGCAAAGAUUUAAAAGAAAAAACCAUUUUUAAGUCUUGAUUAUGAAACACAGGGUGGGUGAUGGGCCUAUAGCGGGCUCAUCAGCCUAUGCUGAUGAUGAAGUAGGUGGGUGUGGUGCAACUGGAGAUGGAGACAUCAUGAUGCGCUUCCUUCCCUGGUAAUCAUCACCCAAUCUCUGUGAGCAAAGCUAUAGAUUUUGUUUUUUCUAGCUUAAAGCAAGCUAAUGAUCCAGACAUGCUUUUCUUGGUUGUUUGCAUUGGUCACACUGAUGAAUCAUGUCUAUUAACGUGCAUGCACUGUAUGGCAUGUUUAAGUUAAAAGUUAAAUGGUUAUUAUUAUUAUUAUUUUUUCUUGAUUGUUACUUAUGAUGGUUCUUCCUCUGGUUUACUUGGCUGUGGUUUAAGUUACCAAGUCGUGGAGAGCAUGAGACAAGGAAUGAAACCAGAGCAAGCUGCUAAGGACGCGGUCUCGAGAAUCGCUAGGAAGUUUCCUGAUUUUGUGGGAGCGGUUGUUGCUGUUGACAAGAACGGGUCUCACGCAGGAGCUUGCCAUGGCUGGACCUUUCAGUACUCAGUCCGGGACCCUAACAUGGACGAUGUUCAAGUCUUCACGGUUCUCCCAUGAAAAAAAAAAAAACAGGUAAAUUUUGUGUUACUAAGAAUCAUAUUUGAUUGAUUCAUAUCAAAUGAGUUUCUUGAAAUUUUUAGUAUUGAUAAAAAAAAAAAAAUUCCUUUGCAGCCAGGCUUUAAAAAAGAUAAAGAAACGCCACGAAGUUCAUGUCUGGAAAUACGGAACGGCAAGCUCGUUGGAGAAUAUUCUGAAUUAUUGUUUCUUUAAAACAAAAAUCUGCUCCCCAUUGGCCAGGCAAGGAGACUCAGGAACCUCUAUUAUUAUUAUUAUUGUUCCUGUAAACAACAGAACAUAUAUGCUUAGUUGACUUCAUGUAGUUUUGUGAUUAAAUAUUAAAUAUUUGUCAAACAUACGAGCUACAUAAAGCUUGGGGAAUUCCUUGGUAUUUUCAAUCCCCUCGGUCCAUUUUUUCCCAUCCAUAACUUUUCUUUCCUUUCAUCAUCUCAACAGAACCGAAAGAAGAAACCUAAUCAAAAAACACUUCUCAUCAGCCAAAAAAAAAAAAAAAAAAAAAGACAUGAUGGGCGAAAAUAUCAAAUUAGAAUUUAGUUCUCAAUUACGUUAAUGAGAAAAAGACGAAGGACUAACAAAUAAGUUUAUUUAAAAAAAAAAAACUGGAAAAUGUUUAGAUUUUGACGGCUCCACCUCUAAAAAUUCUACACGUGGCACUAAUACGGAAGAAAAAUCAAAAGGAUGACUUUCCUAUUCAAAAUUCAAAGCCCAGAGAAAAUUUAAAAGGGUGGAACUUUUGUUUCUCCUGGGACGAUCUCGUCGUCUUUGAUCGUCUCGAGGGAUUGGGUUCGAUCGUCUCAAAUUUCUCUGAGGACUUUUAAAAGGUUCUGAUGAUCGAUUGCUCUUGUCACUUUGUUAUUUUCGAUUGUCCGUUGAUUUGAUUGGUUAGAGAUUAUAGGUUUAGGGUUUAUGGUUGGUUUCUAAAAAGUUAUCUCCUUUUUGAAAUGUUGUGUUCAAAGGUUUUGUUUCUUCUAUAGAAAAACUGUAUAUGAUUGGAUGGAGCUGAGCUGAUGACUUUUAGUUUUAGAUAAUUUUAUUUAUUUAUAAGAUUGAUUACAACGAAUAGUAGGGCCUAUGUGUUUGUGUCAUAAUCAAACAUAGUUUGCUAAAGAAUAGUGAGUAUUGAGAGUUUAUGAAGCCUUUUUUUUUGUUUAUUGAUCUAAACAGGUUUAAAGUGAUUUGUUUCAAAGCGAUGCCUUCUCUCAUCUCACAGCAAUGGCAGGAGAGAACUAGUGGAUUCUUUUCUUCCUCAGGUUUAGAUAGUUUAUACACUAACUAACGUCUUUACUCUCUGUGUGAGUAUGUGUUUGUGGUUGAAGGAAGGCUUACUAUUGUUUUAUGCUGUGGAAUAGGAACGAAGCUUAGGGAAGCUAGGCAAUCAGCUGGUGCUUUUGUCGGGGAAGUGGCUAAGGAUGCGAAAGUGAACGUUACCGAUGUUGCUGAAAGAGUUGGGUCGUUGUUCAAAAGCAGGUGGGCGAUUCUUCAGCAGCCUGCAACUAGACACGCUGUGCAAGAACACCUCAUAACAGCUGCUGCCACAACUGGGACUUUGGUCAGGAAAGGUAUCACUGAGACUAAAGAAAAGGUUUCCGUUGGAAAGAUCAAAGUGGAAGAGGUAAUUUAUUCAAAUAAAAUAACUUCUCCAACUUUCAUUUUCCAACGUGUGAGAGAGCUAAUGUUCUUUUGAUGUUCGUUUUUCUUUUAAGGCGGCAAAAAAGACUGCACAAAAGAGCAAGACUCUUUUGACGGAUAUCGAAAGAUGGCAGAAGGUAUGUGAGACUUGCAUCUGAUCCUAGCUGUUGAUUUGAGUUUUGUCUCUAAUGUUUGAUUCUUUGUAAACCUGCAGGGAGUUGCCAGCUCAGAUGGUAAGAUAGUCGCGGUUUAUGCAUUUAUAGACGUUGGUUAAUCAUUCUAAGUUUAUGCUUUGCUUGUAUUUUGUGCUCAGUGUUUGGUGUUGCGAUUGAGGUCACUGUCCAGCGGCAGGAGUCGACCAGGCCUAUUCCAAUAAUAUUGAUCAAGUGCGCAGACUAUCUCAUAUUAACAGGUAAGAAUAUUCCAACCAAAUUGUGGCUGUACUGCUUAUAUAGCUCAUACGAUGUUUCUUCUCCUCAGGACUUAACUCACCGAACUUGUUCAAAACCGAAGGAGACAAAAAGCUGAUCCAGCAAUUGGUUUCUGCUUACAAUCAAGGUAAACCAACGUUGUAACAAGUUUUCUUCUCUGACUCUUAUGGCUCAGGGAGGAUUCUGUGUUAAACUAGUCACUUGUUUGUCAGAUCCUAGCGCGUCAAUACCUGAAGGCGUGAAUCCAGUUGAUGUCGCUGCCCUCAUGAAAUACUAUCUCGCAAGCCUUCCAACACCACUAACAACUUUUGAGCUUUAUAAUGAAAUCAAAGAUGCAAGGUCAAGCGUUAACAGAAUGAGAAAGUCACUCCAAAAGCUUUCCAGUGUGAACUAUAAUACACUUGAGUUCGUAACUGCGUUGUUACUUCGUGUGAGCGAGAAAUCACAGCUCAACAAGGUAGGAAUGUCUUCUCUAUAAUCACUCAACGUAGUUAUAAGUUAACACUGGCUUGUAAUCUUGAUGAUUGAGAAUCGUUUUCUUGGACUUGGACAGAUGGAUUCACACAGCCUAGCUAUGGAGAUGGCUCCGGUGAUCAUGUGGCGAGAAGACAAGAGGCCUGAGUCUUAUAGGGAAUAUUGGAGACGCCCAUCAAGGAGUCCUAAGAAAAGCAACGACUUUGAAACUGCUACUCCAUGGGACUUACUCUCAGGUAAACAAAAACCGCAAUAAAGAACUUAGCUUUUAUACUAUCUAUCAUAAAAAAAGCAGAGUUCCAUUGUGGUCAUAAUUAUCGUCGAUGAUUACAGAUGAAGGAGAAGGUGUAGAUGCAUCUUCAUCAAUCCCUCUAGAUGAUAUUGUUCAAGUUGAUUUUGGUGCGGUCGAGGUUGUGCAGUGCCUGAUUGAACAUCAUAACGCGAUUUUCACGGAUGCAGACGAGACUGUAUGGAGGUGAAAACAACAGCUUGCCAGUCUUUCUCUAAUGGUCCCCAGAUUCAAGUCAGUGGUUUCUCAAUUUGUGGACCAAACGAGAAGAACAUAUGCAUUGUUGAUGUGGAUGAUGAUUAACUAGUGGUUUUAGUAAAUAAGCUUUGUUUCAUAUGGUUUUUGUGUAACAUUGUUUUGAUAAGUAAGAAUUCAAUUUUCUGAUUACUUUCUUCUAUAUGAAACAUAAAGCAAUCACCUUGCUAUUAACGCAACUAGCUUAACCUUGCCGAUCAGAGAACACAGCUGAUUGUGUUUUCUUUGCCAACUCCAAACCGAUUAAACCGAACCAUAUAGUACUGGCAGUUAUCUGAGUCAUGAGCUCUUUCACCAACUCCAAACCGAUUCAAACCGAACCGUAUAUACUGGCAGUUAUUUGAGUCAUGAGCAGACCAAUGAACAUAAAGUCAAUAGAGCAAGACAGAUAACUUUUGUAGCUUCUAAAGCUCACAGGUCAUGGCGAGAAGCUAUCUUUCGAUUAUUCUCUCUACUCUCCUUCUGUUUCUGCCUCUACUGACGGUAAGUGACUUCUGAAAAUCUCAAUUCAGUUGGAACUGGGGAAUAAAAAUCGAAACUUUGAUCACUUUAUGAGUUAGGUAGGUGAACCAGUCAUGACAAAAGGGUGAUCGUACUCUAGAUUUUGCUAAUUUUGAAUGCUUUUCUUAUUUUGGAUGUACAUACUCUGAAAACCGGAUCCUUAACUAGGUUCUGUCUGAAUGGUUUUGGUUUCAGGCAGCUGAAGCGGAGUUGGGGAAACCAAAGAAGUUCCCAGUAGUGGUGAGCACUUGGCCUUUCAUAGAAGCGGUUAGAGCAGCUUGGAGAGUAGCUAAUAAUGGAAGCUCUGCAGUAGAAGCUGUUGUGGAAGGUUGUUCUGCUUGUGAGGAACUCCGCUGUGACGGUACAGGUAAAAAGCCUAUCAAAAACAUUUGUUUAUGUAACUUUACUUUUUGCAAAGUGAUAAAUUUUAUUUUGAUUAGUUGGGCCUGGAGGAAGUCCUAAUGAGAACGGUGAAACCAUGCUUGAUGCUUUAAUCAUGGACGGGGUAAUAAAUAAUUAAAUCCCUUCCAGUAAAAAUGCAUCAAAGAUCUUGAAGAAAAUGACUCUCAAGUCUGUUUGGAGAUUCUUAGGUGACUAUGGAGGUUGGAGCUGUUGCUGCAAUGCGGUAUGUCAAAGACGGUAUAAGAGCUGCGUGGCUUGUGAUGAAGCACUCUCAACACACGUUGUUAGCUGGAGAAGGAGCAUCAGCUUUUGCUAUCUCCAUGGGUCUUCCUGGACCUAUGAACCUGAGCUCCCCUGAAUCUUUAAAGAAGUGGUUGGACUGGAAAGAGAAUCGGUGUCAGCCCAAUUUUAGAAAGAACGUUGUCCCUGCGAACGGCUGUGGACCUUACAAGCCGAAACAUGGUGGUAUGGAUGUUUCUACUGAGUCUUGUGAGAUGGGAACAAUAGAGUAUAGACUUCCUCCUCUUGUUGGUCCUCACAACCAUGAUACCAUAUCGAUGGCUGUUAU